Molecule: ribosomal RNA, 254 nt
Filed under: uncultured Pseudomonas sp.
Lineage: Bacteria; Pseudomonadati; Pseudomonadota; Gammaproteobacteria; Pseudomonadales; Pseudomonadaceae
Description: partial 16S ribosomal RNA
Rfam family: Bacterial small subunit ribosomal RNA
Source: RNAcentral
CGGACGGGUGAGUAAUGCCUAGGAAUCUGCCUGGUAGUGGGGGACAACGUUUCGAAAGGAACGCUAAUACCGCAUACGUCCUACGGGAGAAAGCAGGGGACCUUCGGGCCUUGCGCUAUCAGAUGAGCCUAGGUCGGAUUAGCUAGUUGGUGAGGUAAUGGCUCACCAAGGCGACGAUCCGUAACUGGUCUGAGAGGAUGAUCAGUCACACUGUAACUGAGACACGGUCCAGACUCCUACGGGAGGCAGCAGCC